AACGCACCUUGCGCUCCUUGGUAUUCCGAGGAGCAUGCCUGUUUGAGUGUCUUGAAGUCAUCAGCUCCCUCCCGUUUUGCGAUGGGUGGGAGAGCUGGAGCUGGGGGUCGUGCUGCCGAAAGGUCGGCUCCCCUGAAAUGCUUCGGUUGGGCCUGCGGGUCGAACUCGACUGGGCGUUGUACCAUCCUCGCUCGACCGAGUGCCCUGCAAAUGUGCUCGGACCACGGCCGCUUGUGGAGCGGUGGCCAAACGAGAUGCUUCUCGAAUUCUGACCUCAAAUCAGGUAGGACUACCCGCUGAACUUAA
Molecule: unclassified non-coding RNA, 306 nt
Filed under: uncultured fungus
Lineage: Eukaryota; Fungi
Description: partial contains 5.8S ribosomal RNA, internal transcribed spacer 2, and large subunit ribosomal RNA
Rfam family: 5.8S ribosomal RNA (bases 1-52)
Source: RNAcentral